ACCCUCCAGAUUCCUUACCCCUUGGACCUAAACCGUGGUCCGAGUGGCUGAAGAAAGGAGGAAAAGUACAAGUGAAGGGGACCCGGCGCCUUUAGUGACACACACACGGUCGGUUCAGACACAU
Molecule: small nucleolar RNA, 124 nt
Filed under: Echinops telfairi (small Madagascar hedgehog)
Lineage: Eukaryota; Metazoa; Chordata; Mammalia; Afrosoricida; Tenrecidae
Description: Small nucleolar RNA SNORA61 (ENSETEG00000026396.1)
Source: RNAcentral